AGUCGAACGGUAGAGGGGGCAACCCCUUGAGAGUGGCGAACGGGUGAGUAAUAUAUCGGAACGUGCCCAGUCGUGGGGGAUAACGUAGUGAAAAUUACGCUAAUACCGCAUACGAUCUAAGGAUGAAAGCGGGGGAUCGCAAGACCUCGCGCGACUGGAGCGGCCGAUAUCAGAUUAGGUAGUUGGUAGGGUAAAGGCCUACCAAGCCAACGAUCUGUAGCUGGUCUGAGAGGACGACCAGCCACACUGGAACUGAGACACGGUCCAGACUCCUACGGGAGGCAGCAGUGGGGAAUUUUGGACAAUGGGCGAAAGCCUGAUCCAGCCAUUCCGCGUGCAGGAUGAAGGCCCUCGGGUUGUAAACUGCUUUUGUACAGAACGAAAAGGUUUCUAUUAAUACUAGGAGCUCAUGACGGUACUGUAAGAAUAAGCACCGGCUAACUACGUGCCAGCAGCCGCGGUAAUACGUAGGGUGCAAGCGUUAAUCGGAAUUACUGGGCGUAAAGCGUGCGCAGGCGGUUAUAUAAGUCAGAUGUGAAAUCCCCGGGCUCAACCUGGGAACUGCAUUUGAGACUGUAUAGCUAGAGUACGGUAGAGGGGGAUGGAAUUCCGCGUGUAGCAGUGAAAUGCGUAGAUAUGCGGAGGAACACCGAUGGCGAAGGCAAUCCCUGGACCUGUACUGACGCUCAUGCACGAAAGCGUGGGGAGCAAACAGGAUUAGAUACCCUGGUAGUCCACGCCCUAAACGAUGUCAACUGGUUGUUGGGUCUUAACUGACUCAGUAACGAAGCUAACGCGUGAAGUUGACCGCCUGGGGAGUACGGCCGCAAGGUUGAAAC
Molecule: ribosomal RNA, 839 nt
Filed under: uncultured Burkholderiales bacterium
Lineage: Bacteria; Pseudomonadati; Pseudomonadota; Betaproteobacteria; Burkholderiales
Description: bacterial SSU rRNA
Rfam family: Bacterial small subunit ribosomal RNA
Source: RNAcentral